AUGUAUGCACCCCACCGCUCACCGCACUCCUUCACGGUGCAGCCGAGUCCGCCUCAGGAGCUGCACCCUUCUGGUUUCCUGCCGGCUGGCCCAAGGCCCCUGGGCUUGCUCUCUCCCAGCUCUCCCCUCUUUACCCAGCUUCGAGGGUGUCAUCUGUCGACUUUGAAGUGGAGAAGAACGGAGAUGGACGGAAGGCAGGAAAGAGGCGUGCUCCUUACACCUUCCUGCACUUCUUCUUUCUCUUAUGCCUGGAUAAGCAGUGCCGUCCACAGCUGAGGAGGCCGGAGUCUUUGCUCUGUUUUCUGGAGUGGUUGGAGGGUGGGAGGCCACUCAGGGUACAAGUGAACGCGAGGUGUGGGGGCGUGUCCACUAACACAUGCGCAGCCCACCCGGCCUGGCGCUCAGCCUGCGCAUCGGUCAGGCUCUGCUCAGGCAGGAGCGCCAUGUGCAGGGUUCCCGAAGAGAAGUUUUGUUUGCACUAAAAAGGCAUCUGGGGCUGAGCACCUGCUUUGCAUGUACGAGAUCCCAAGUUCAAUCCCUGGUACCUAAAAAAAAAAUCUAUGGCUUAAGGAGGAGAGCAAUGGCCUUGACAGUGACCUGGCUGGAGAGCAGGCACUGCCUCUCCACUGUUAGCUGACCUUCAGGGCCCAGCUCUCUGAACCUUGGUCUUCCCACCUUCAAAUUAGGGAUAAGAAGCAUAACAAUGCCUUUUUCUCAAGGAUGCUAUGAAACAUUACCUGUUUCUGAAAGCAAUUUUGGUGUCUUUAAGGAGAACUAAAAUCUCAAGGAUUGUUUUCCCAAAUCCUCGACAUCCCUCAAACA
RNAcentral lists this long non-coding RNA (822 nucleotides) under Dasypus novemcinctus (nine-banded armadillo). RNAcentral describes it as "lncRNA (ENSDNOG00000052262.1)". Lineage: Eukaryota; Metazoa; Chordata; Mammalia; Cingulata; Dasypodidae. The record is from RNAcentral.